UACAGAGGGUGCAAGCGUUAAUCGGAAUUACUGGGCGUAAAGCGUGCGUAGACGGUUGCGUAAGUCAGAUGUGAAAGCCCCGGGCUCAACCUGGGAAUUGCAUUUGAGACUGCGUAGCUAGGGUGCGGAAGAGGGAAGCGGAAUUUCCGGUGUAGCGGUGAAAUGCGUAGAUAUCGGAAGGAACACCAGUGGCGAAAGCGGCUUCCUGGUCCCGCACCGACGUUCAGGCACGAAAGCGUGGGGAGCAAACAGG
RNAcentral lists this ribosomal RNA (253 nucleotides) under uncultured bacterium. RNAcentral's name for it is "partial 16S ribosomal RNA". It matches the Rfam family "Bacterial small subunit ribosomal RNA", at positions 524 to 776 of the family's 1533-position model. The record is from RNAcentral.